Molecule: transfer RNA, 69 nt
Filed under: Deleatidium vernale
Lineage: Eukaryota; Metazoa; Arthropoda; Insecta; Ephemeroptera; Leptophlebiidae
Description: tRNA-Ser
Rfam family: tRNA
About the family: Transfer RNA (tRNA) molecules are approximately 80 nucleotides in length. Their secondary structure includes four short double-helical elements and three loops (D, anti-codon, and T loops).
Source: RNAcentral
GAUUACUAAGCUGAAGUUCAGCAGAUGUUUUGAAAGCAUCCUUUAGAGGUUCAAAUCCUCUAGUAAUCU